This 512-nucleotide ribosomal RNA is filed under the name uncultured bacterium. RNAcentral describes it as "bacterial SSU rRNA". It matches the Rfam family "Bacterial small subunit ribosomal RNA", at positions 9 to 513 of the family's 1533-position model. The record is from RNAcentral.
GAGUUUGAUCCUGGCUCAGAUUGAACGCUGGCGGCAGGCCUAACACAUGCAAGUCGAGCGGUAGAGAGAAGCUUGCUUCUCUUGAGAGCGGCGGACGGGUGAGUAAUGCCUAGGAAUCUGCCUGGUAGUGGGGGAUAACGCUCGGAAACGGACGCUAAUACCGCAUACGUCCUACGGGAGAAAGCAGGGGACCUUCGGGCCUUGCGCUAUCAGAUGAGCCUAGGUCGGAUUAGCUAGUUGGUGAGGUAAAUGGCUCACCAAGGCGACGAUCCGUAACUGGUCUGAGAGGAUGAUCAGUCACACUGGAACUGAGACACGGUCCAGACUCCUACGGGAGGCAGCAGUGGGGAAUAUUGGACAAUGGGCGAAAGCCUGAUCCAGCCAUGCCGCGUGUGUGAAGAAGGUCUUCGGAUUGUAAAGCACUUUAAGUUGGGAGGAAGGGCAGUAAAUUAAUAACUUUGCUGUUUUGACGUUUACCGACAGAAUAAGCACCGGCUAACUCUGUGCCAGCA